GUGGGGAAUAUUGGACAAUGGGCGAAAGCCUGAUCCAGCAAUGCCGCGUGAGUGAUGAAGGCCUUAGGGUUGUAAAGCUCUUUUACCCGGGAUGAUAAUGACAGUACCGGGAGAAUAAGCUCCGGCUAACUCCGUGCCAGCAGCCGCGGUAAUACGGAGGGAGCUAGCGUUGUUCGGAAUUACUGGGCGUAAAGCGCACGUAGGCGGCUAUUCAAGUCAGGGGUGAAAUCCCGGGGCUCAACCUCGGAACUGCCUUUGAAACUGGAUGGCUAGAAUCCUGGAGAGGCGAGUGGAAUUCCGAGUGUAGAGGUGAAAUUCGUAGAUAUUCGGAAGAACACCAGUGGCGAAGGCGGCCUGCUGGACAUUAACUGACGCUGAGGCGCGAAAGCGUGGGGAGCAAACAGGAUUAGAAACCCCAGUAGUCC
Molecule: ribosomal RNA, 425 nt
Filed under: uncultured bacterium
Lineage: Bacteria
Description: partial 16S ribosomal RNA
Rfam family: Bacterial small subunit ribosomal RNA
Source: RNAcentral